RNAcentral lists this ribosomal RNA (294 nucleotides) under uncultured bacterium. RNAcentral describes it as "partial 16S ribosomal RNA". It matches the Rfam family "Bacterial small subunit ribosomal RNA", at positions 333 to 643 of the family's 1533-position model. The record is from RNAcentral.
UUGUGCCUACGGGGGGCAGCAGUGGGGGAUAUUGCACAAUGGGGGGAACCCUGAUGCAGCGACGCCGCGUGGGUGAAGGAGUAUUUCGGUAUGUAAAGCCCUAUCGGCAGGGAAGAAUUUAGACGGUACCUGACUAAGAAGCCCCGGCUAACUACGUGCCAGCAGCCGCGGUAAUACGUAGGGGGCAAGCGUUAUCCGGAUUCACUGGGGGUAAAGGGAGCGGAGAAGGCCAGGCAAGCCUGGAGGGAAAGCCCGGGGCCCAACCCCGGGACUGGUCUGGGAACUGUCAGGGUG